Molecule: ribosomal RNA, 108 nt
Filed under: Sus scrofa (pig)
Lineage: Eukaryota; Metazoa; Chordata; Mammalia; Artiodactyla; Suidae
Source: RNAcentral
GUCUACAGCCAUAUCACCCUGAACACGCCCGAUCUCAUCUUAUCUCAGAAGCUAAGCAGGGUCAGGCCUGGUUAGUACUUGGAUAGAGUCUGCUUGAAGCUAUAUAAC